Long non-coding RNA from Oreochromis aureus, 1693 nucleotides. The record is from Ensembl. NCBI's taxonomy places the organism in Eukaryota, Metazoa, Chordata, Actinopteri, Cichliformes, Cichlidae.
CAAGAGAUUGCCGUGGAAGAGCCUGUUGUCCGUAUAUUUAUAUAUUUCCGAAAUCACAUUGUAGUGACGUGUACUGAACACAAUAUAUUAUAUAAUGUAAACAACUACCUGAGAAACAGCAGAUACAGCAGAUAAAUUAAUUAUAGGCCAUUACUUUUGUAUCGUUUAUUGCAUUUAUGGAGGGAGAGGUGUAUGCUGGGUAAUGGCACAGCUAGCGACCGGGUGACUUUAUUCACCCGCUUCGGCUGUUAUCAGUCCAUACAAUGGGCGUUAUUAGCAGAAAUCAGUCCCAUAGAUAUGGGCCAUCAUGGGCCAUCCACCUGCUAGAUUGUUCAGAAGGUUGUUAUCAUCCAUCCAGAUGGAGGAUCACUAACAGGAGCGUGGGAAGACUCCAGAAUCCACUCUGGCUGGAAUCCGGUGGAUACAGCAGUGUUACAGAACAGUUCGCCACAGUCGCUGUCCACAUGGGUCAGUGGGACCAAGCAGCACUCUGCUAAUGUGUGGACUCUGACCAGCAACAUCCAGCAAGACCCAGGCAGCGUUUUCUAUCUCCCAGCUGGAGUUUUGUUUGUGACGGGAGAGUCAGAUUUUUGUUGAAGCUGGAGGAACAGCCUCACACUUGCAGAGGUUAAUACACGCUACUGAUCCCUGAUGGGAGAAUCAUCACCUCUGCCAACAAAGAAGCCUGGUGGAUGUUUGUUUGCAGUCUGAUGAUGGGACAUCAUGCUCUGCAUCUUCAAAUCUUUUUGCAGGAUCAGAAAACAAAACCAGGAGGCCUGUAAAUGUUUCUUCUCCAAUUGGAUGAUGAUAAGACUGUGACAUGGGAUGCCACCUUUAGUCUUGUGAUGAAGCAAAGCUCAGGAAGAAGUGUGAUUAAAUGGUACCCACAUGUGUGCUGCUGAGAAGGAUGUACAGGGGCACCUGCAGCCAAAUCCAAGCCGCCUCAGCAACUUCAGGUCUGUCAGCGUGCUGAGGUCACAGAAACAAGAAAAGCAGCUUGACUUCAGAGUGUUGUUUACAGUUUUCUGUCAUCAUGAUCUCCCCUGAAGUUUAUCACUAUUAUACAAGCAGGUCGCAGGGGGCGCUGGAGCCUAUCCCAGCUGUCAUAGGGCGAGAGGCGGGGUACACCCUGGACAGGUCGCCAGUCUGUCGCAGGGCCAACACACAGAGACAGACAACCAUUCACACUCACAUUCACUCGCACAUUCACACCUAGUGACAAUUUGGAUUAUCCAAUUAACCUAUCCCCACAAGCUGCAUGUCUUUGGACAGUGGGAGGAAGCCGGAGUACCCGGAGGGAACCCACGCAAACACGGGGAGAACAUGCAAACUCCACACAGAAAGACCCCGGCCUGAUGGUGGAAUUGAACUCAGGACCUUCUUGCUGUGCGGCAACAGUGCUAACCACCGUGCCACCACAUGCAGCUUGUGGGGAUAGGUUAAUUGGAUAAUCCAAAUUGUCACUAGGUGUGAAUGUGAGUGUGAAUGGUUGUCUGUCCUUGUGUGUUGGCCCUGCGACAGAAUGGCGACCUGUACCCCGCCUCUCGCCCUAUGAUAGCUGGGAUAGGCUCCAGCGCCCCCCGUGACCCUGAAAAGGAUAAGCAGAAGCAAAUGGAUGGAUGGACUGUAUUAAGCACAAAUCCUAUAAAAAGCAAAAAUCCUAUAUUAAGCAAUAUAAAAAUCCUAUAAAAAG